GGAGGAAAAGAAACCAACAGGGAUUGCCUCAGUAACGGCGAGUGAAGCGGCAAAAGCUCAAAUUUUAAAGCUGGCAUCUUCGGUGUCCGCGUUGUAAUUUUGUGAGGCAUCUCCGGGUAGGGCGCCAGCCUAAGUUCCUUGGAACAGGACGUCACAGAGGGUGAGAAUCCCGUGCUUGGCUGGCUGUCCCCGCCCACGUGAGGUGUCUUCGACGAGUCGAGUUGUUUGGGAAUGCAGCUCAAAAUGGGUGGUAAAUUUCAUCUAAAGCUAAAUAUUGGUGGGAGACCGAUAGCGCACAAGUAGAGUGAUCGAAAGAUGAAAAGCACUUUGAAAAUAGAGUUAAAAAGUACGUGAAAUUGUUGAAAGGGAAGCGCUUGAGACCAGACUUCGGUAGGGGGUGAUCAGCCGUCCUUCUGGGCGGUGCACUUGCCCCCCUCCGGGCCAGCAUCGGUUGAGGCGGCGGGAUAAAGGUCCCGGGAACGUGGCUCCUUCACGGGAGUGUUAUAGCCCGGGUGAAUGCCGCCAGCCUCGACCGAGGACCGCGCCCGCAAGGGUUAGGAUGCUUGGCAUAAUGGUCUUCAGCGACCCG
Molecule: ribosomal RNA, 589 nt
Filed under: Morchella punctipes
Lineage: Eukaryota; Fungi; Ascomycota; Pezizomycetes; Pezizales; Morchellaceae
Description: eukaryotic LSU rRNA
Rfam family: Eukaryotic large subunit ribosomal RNA
Source: RNAcentral